RNAcentral lists this small nuclear RNA (123 nucleotides) under Hedleyoconcha delta. Its description in RNAcentral is "partial U2 snRNA". It matches the Rfam family "U2 spliceosomal RNA", at positions 27 to 148 of the family's 192-position model. Rfam says of the family: U2 is a small nuclear RNA (snRNA) component of the spliceosome (involved in pre-mRNA splicing). Complementary binding between U2 snRNA (in an area lying towards the 5' end but 3' to hairpin I) and the branchpoint sequence (BPS) of the intron results the bulging out of an unpaired adenosine, on the BPS, which initiates a nucleophilic attack at the intronic 5' splice site, thus starting the first of two transesterification reactions that mediate splicing. Lineage: Eukaryota; Metazoa; Mollusca; Gastropoda; Stylommatophora; Charopidae. The record is from RNAcentral.
CAAAGUGUAGUAUCUGUUCUUAUCAGCUUAAUAUCUGAUACGUGGCCCCAUUGGGUCACUACGNUAUUAAACUGAUUUUUGGAANAAGAUGAGAUGCCCGNNNUUUGCUCCGCUCUCGNCACG